GGUCUAUGUAAGUGGACUUGAAUUGAUUCAUGUUAUAAACAUCAGGCAGUUCCAAUUAUAUUCUUGGUUUGGCCUGUGGAGUGAAGAGAGUGAUAUCAUAGAGUGCCAGAGAAUGCUGGGAUGAGAAGUGAAGAGGAAGACAGGUGGGAGGGAGCCCGUCCUUGGCAGAUGAGCAGUGUCUGGCCCUGUCGUGGGAAAAUAAAUGUCCUUCUGGGCCAUGGAAACAGUGAGUGCAAACGCAGAGGAUGUGAAAGGCUGCUGAGUUUUACAAAAUCUUCGGAAACCGUUUGGUCACAGAAGGUAAUCAGAUCUGGAUGACGAGUGUUAGAAAGCAUUCCUAGGAAAGCAGAAUUUAUCUUGGGGAGAAGCGCAGAGCAUUUUCUCCUUCAAAACCAAGGGCAAUCUGACAUUCUCUGUAUUUUGGGAAGUACCUGACUUCCCUGAGGAGUUAAGAUCAGGGCCAGAGUCCAGAAAGAAGACAUCAGGACCAACUUCAGGGUUCUUACAGGAGACAAGCGGCUGUUUGGUGUUUUUCCCAACUGAGACUGGCCUCAACGUGAUGCCAGUUGCUAUCAGUCCUUUCUUUAUAUUUUCUAGGUGUCGAAAACUUUUGGAGUGGGGAGAAGAACGUUCGUGGUGCACAGAACACGACUUUUCAUCAUUUUCUGCUCUAUUACUAUUUUCAGUCAUCUUUGAUCAGAAUGGCACCUGUGCCCCAUACCCACUGGAGACUGUGGAAAUCUGGAGGGAGCAACCUUGGUGAUUCUGCCCCAAGAGAAGGGAUUCUCUGGAGCUCUGGACAACAUCCUGGGACUAAGAUGGACAGUGGGAGUAUUGCAGCUUGGAGAGGAUAAUAUUUAAGCAUUCAGGUUCUAGAAACCCCAUUUCCUAGGGAACCAAGCUGACACUGGAGCAGUAGUGCUGUGGCUGAGCUGCUGGCACAGAGAUACACAGCCAAGUCCCCCUGCUGUGUGCGCUGGAACUUCAGAGUGGAGAUGGAUCCCUCAGACCUCU
This 1014-nucleotide long non-coding RNA is filed under the name Homo sapiens (human). Its description in RNAcentral is "HSALNT0130006". Lineage: Eukaryota; Metazoa; Chordata; Mammalia; Primates; Hominidae. The record is from RNAcentral.